CCACCCCACGACAACGUCACCACCGCGAUAGUAGCCUUAGCAACAUGCUGGGAUAUGACGCCCGCACCGUCAACGUCUCCUCACGUAGCUCCACCUCACAACAACGUCACCACGGUGAUAGUAGCCUUAGCGACAAGCUGGGAUAUGACGCCCGCGACAUCAACGUCUCCUCACGUAGCUCCACCUCACAACAACGUCACCACGGUGAUAGUAGCCUUAGCGACAAGCUGGGAUAUGACGCCUGCGACAUCAACGUCUCCUCACGUAGCUCCACCUCACAACACUGUCGCCGCGGCGAUAGUGGUAUUAGUAUUGUUAGCAUCGUCCGCUACAUACAUUAGCAUUGUUUUAUUAUUAUUAGCGGGGGUGGUAUUGGUAGUGGUGGGGUUGGUAGCAGUAGUAAUAUCAUUAUUAGUAGUAGAAGCAUUGUAGUAGUGGUAGUAGAAGUAGUAAUAUUCAUAUAAAUAGUGCUAGUAGUGAAACCCAUUUCAAGCUCAAGUACCUCAUUUCUCGGUUCCUUGUCUUCACAGCAGAGGCCUACUUAAUCCCACACCGACUCGCCUUCUAGGCCAUUUAAAUUGAUCAGCCGAAGGUAAAAACGGCCAGCAGGUGGCCAGAUAAAAAAGACUCCAUGGCGAAAGAAUCAGGCUUCACAACUCGCUAGUAGAACAGUGGUAGCCGUCGCCGUAGCAGCAGUGUUCAUAGAGUAAACAAUGGCAUAAUCACAAACGCACGCCAAAUACACAAUAGUAAUCAGGGCUAUAAAACACUGUCCCACAUUAUGAUGGUUCUUGCAUUAUUAGGAUGUUUGUAAGCAGCAGGGAGCAGUAGCAUUGCAGCCAGUGUGAUGUUGACUGCAUCAGGGACAGGGGUGGGGCUAGCUGCUGCUGCUGUCACACUAUCCUCUCCUUUCAUGUCUGCAGUGGCUAGGGGCUGUUGUUAGACAGCUGAGGUGUGGGGGGGGGGAUCAAAAUGAAACAUUAACAACCCACAUCUCUUCUGGUUGUUGUUAGGACCACCGUAUUACUUAUUAGAAUGAUGGCAUGUUACACGUCGACAACACACCGGUAGUGGAGCAGGGGGAGCAGGGGGAGGAUGGGGGGGGUCAGAGUGUACACCGCAUGGGGAGGGUCACGCCCGCCUUCUAAGGGAGGGGGGGUAGUGUUUCCGAUGGGACGUGGGGUAAGAGGGUCAACCUGUUAAUCAUAAGCGAUAGGUCGUGGCCUCCUCUGAGGGAUCGUGUUGCAGCUGUGCUUUGGGGGUCAAAGUGUGAAUCUUAAAGGGGCACCCAGCGCCUCUCUCGGCUGUUUCCUAAUACAAAAGAGUACUUCUUCACACGCGUGGAGUGCAGAGAUGACGGCCCGGUCGACAUCGGCGUUUGCAGGGAAGUCUGAGCAUUUUCGUCAUUAUUUUAGAAGUUUCGGCUUCAGACUUUUCUGAGGAUUUGUUCUGUGGAAACAGAGUGGAUUUUGCAGAGAGUGAUUUUCCACCCAACAAGUGUGUGUGUAGAAAUAUUAGAAGAUAGCUAGCGUGGCGGUUCCCCUUUAAGAAAUGGGUCAUUGGCUUCUUCUGAGGGAUAGAUGGUGCUUCAGCUGGGGGUUGGAGGGUAAGACGGGAACAUAACUUUUCGAGGAGCCACAGAGGAGAGCACAAAGACUUUUUGUUGAAAAGUUAGGAUUGUGAGUCAUAUAAGGUAAAUCCUGAUGUGUCAGGACGUACUAGUUCAGAACAGCAGUGACAGAGGUGAAAUACACUGAAGCCGAUGGGGUUGAGUCUGAAUAGUUCAUAGGAAGGUUGUCAGGCAGAGUCUGAAUAGUUCAUGUUAAGGUUGUCAGGUAGAGUCUGAAUAGUUCAUGUUAAGGUUGUCAGGUAGAGUCUGAAUAGGCCAUGUGAAAGAUGCCAAAGUCAAACACUGAGAUCAAUUAUGGAUACAGAAAUCAUUGCUGUGUCUGUCAUGCAUUUCGUAACCGAUUUUCAGCGGGGAAAGAGGUCCUCAUCAGUUAUAUCAUUGGACUUUCCAAACACACACACACACACACACACACACACACACACACACACACACACACACACACACACACACACACACACACACGGACAUAAGUGUGUUUUGAGCGUAAUUAAAACCUGGAGAUUGGGUGUAAGAAGGUUCUGCUGUGGGUAAAGCAGGGUUAGAAAGGCAUUGUGGUACUACCACAAUGCGGCCCUGGGGGCCGUCUGGUUGAGGACGGUCACGGGGGUCCAUUAUUGACAGUGAGGAGAAUCG
Molecule: long non-coding RNA, 2266 nt
Organism: Gadus macrocephalus (Pacific cod)
Lineage: Eukaryota; Metazoa; Chordata; Actinopteri; Gadiformes; Gadidae
Exons: 2
Source: RefSeq, a predicted model, not a curated record